This 395-nucleotide ribosomal RNA is filed under the name Anaplasma phagocytophilum. Its description in RNAcentral is "bacterial SSU rRNA". It matches the Rfam family "Bacterial small subunit ribosomal RNA", at positions 61 to 484 of the family's 1533-position model. Lineage: Bacteria; Pseudomonadati; Pseudomonadota; Alphaproteobacteria; Rickettsiales; Anaplasmataceae. The record is from RNAcentral.
GUCGAACGGAUUAUUUUUAUAGCUUGCUACGGAUUUGGUUAGUGGCAGACGGGUGAGUAAUGCAUAGGAAUCUACCUAGUAGUAUGGGAUAGCCACUGGAAAUGGUGGGUAAUACCGUAUAAUCCCCGCGGGGGAAAGAUUUAUCGCUAUUAGAUGAGCCUAUGUCGGAUUAGCUAGUUGGUGGGGUAAUGGCCUACCAAGGCAGUGAUCUGUAGCUGGUCUGAGAGGAUGAUCAGCCACACUGGAACUGAGACACGGUCCAGACUCCUACGGGAGGCAGCAGUGGGGAAUAUUGGACAAUGGGCGCAAGCCUGAUCCAGCUAUGCCGCGUGAGUGAGGAAGGCCUUAGGGUUGUAAAACUCUUUCAGUAGGGAAGAUAAUGACGGUACCUAUAA